UUAAAUUGAAGAGUUUGAUCAUGGCUCAGAUUGAACGCUGGCGGCAGGCCUAACACAUGCAAGUCGAACGGUAACAGGAAGUAGCUUGCUGCUUCGCUGACGAGUGGCGGACGGGUGAGUAAUGUCUGGGAAACUGCCUGAU
RNAcentral lists this ribosomal RNA (142 nucleotides) under Salmonella enterica. RNAcentral's name for it is "partial 16S ribosomal RNA". It matches the Rfam family "Bacterial small subunit ribosomal RNA", at positions 1 to 134 of the family's 1533-position model. RNAcentral also lists the same sequence under 1 other name. Lineage: Bacteria; Pseudomonadati; Pseudomonadota; Gammaproteobacteria; Enterobacterales; Enterobacteriaceae. The record is from RNAcentral.